CUAAUACUCCCUCGGUCCCAUAUUGAAUGACGAAAUAUUACAUGUAUCUAAACGUUUUUUGAUAUAGAUACAUUCAUAUUUAGACAAUUUUGAGUCACUUAAUAUGGGACGGAGGGAGUAAUAC
Non-coding RNA from Brachypodium distachyon (stiff brome), 124 nucleotides. The record is from Rfam. NCBI's taxonomy places the organism in Eukaryota, Viridiplantae, Streptophyta, Magnoliopsida, Poales, Poaceae.